Molecule: unclassified non-coding RNA, 292 nt
Filed under: Hevea brasiliensis (rubber tree)
Lineage: Eukaryota; Viridiplantae; Streptophyta; Magnoliopsida; Malpighiales; Euphorbiaceae
Source: RNAcentral
GAGGGAAAAUGCUAGAGCAGAACAGACAAUUCCCGCAUAAAGAGCAGCAACAAGCCUGUCUGGAGAGUGCAAUGACCAUUGGGAUAAUUUGUGAUUAGCACCAAGGCCAAUGACCACGCACUCAACGCUACCCAUGAAGCACAUCAACAAGGUGCUGGUGUAUGGAGCUGGAAACUUGUCGCUUACCUUCACCUGGACAGUAAACCAGAUUGCCCAACAAACAGCACUUGCCAUUAUAAACAGAGGGCCUAAAAUGAAGUUUGAUUUUGAAGCAGAAUUGCUGCUUCCCAUU